UACGAAGGGGGCUAGCGUUGCUCGGAAUCACUGGGCGUAAAGCGCACGUAGGCGGAUUGUUAAGUCGGGGGUGAAAUCCUGGAGCUCAACUCCAGAACUGCCUUCGAUACUGGCGAUCUUGAGUCCGGGAGAGGUGAGUGGAACUCCGAGUGUAGAGGUGAAAUUCGUAGAUAUUCGGAAGAACACCAGUGGCGAAGGCGGCUCACUGGCCCGGUACUGACGCUGAGGUGCGAAAGCGUGGGGAGCAAACAGG
This 253-nucleotide ribosomal RNA is filed under the name uncultured bacterium. RNAcentral's name for it is "partial 16S ribosomal RNA". It matches the Rfam family "Bacterial small subunit ribosomal RNA", at positions 524 to 776 of the family's 1533-position model. The record is from RNAcentral.